AACAGAAAGCGCAAAAAUAAUUUUCAAAGUGUAAUAGAUUCCUUUUACGCGAGCCAUUAGCUCAGUUGGUAGAGCA
Molecule: transfer RNA, 76 nt
Filed under: Halobacillus sp. BAB-2008
Lineage: Bacteria; Bacillati; Bacillota; Bacilli; Caryophanales; Bacillaceae
Description: tRNA-Lys
Source: RNAcentral